This 498-nucleotide ribosomal RNA is filed under the name uncultured bacterium. Its description in RNAcentral is "partial 16S ribosomal RNA". It matches the Rfam family "Bacterial small subunit ribosomal RNA", at positions 30 to 523 of the family's 1533-position model. The record is from RNAcentral.
AUUGAACGCUGGCGGCAUGCCUUACACAUGCAAGUCGAACGGUAACAGGUCUUCGGAUGCUGACGAGUGGCGAACGGGUGAGUAAUACAUCGGAACGUGCCUAGUAGUGGGGGAUAACUACUCGAAAGAGUGGCUAAUACCGCAUGAGAUCUACGGAUGAAAGCAGGGGAUCGCAAGGCCUUGUGCUACUAGAGCGGCCGAUGGCAGAUUAGGUAGUUGGUGGGAUAAAAGCUUACCGAGCCGACGGUCUGUAGCUGGUCUGAGAGGACGAUCAGCCAGACUGGGACUCAGACACGGCCCAGACUCCUACGGGAGGGAGCAGUGGGGAAUUUUGGACAAUGGGCGAAAGCCUGAUCCAGCAAUGCCGCGUGCAGGAUGAAGGCCUUCGGGUUGUAAACUGCUUUUGUACGGAACGAAAAGCCCCGGGUUAAUACCCUGGGGUCAUGACGGUACCGUAAGAAUAAGCACCGGCUAACUACGUGCCAGCCGCCGCCGUAA